AUGCUGCUCUCCAUCCUUUCUCUCCUAGCACUGCUUGUAGGAGACUCAUCAGCACAGACAAUUCAGCCACUUGCAGGGGAACUGCAUGUUUCAGAGGGUGAUAAUGUUACUCUCUCCUGCAACUACAGUACCACUAAUUUUGGUGAUGCUAUUCAGUGGUAUCGUCAGUUUCCCAAAUCCAGACCAGAGUUUCUUUUGUACAUUUACAUACAAGGGACUAAGAGUGAUCCUCUUCCUCCUCGCAUGUCUGCUGAAAUGGAUAAAGACAACAAGCGUGUGGAUCUGUUGAUCUCCUCUGCUGCAAUAUCAGACUAUGCACUCUACUACUGUGCCCUGUAG
This is a non-coding RNA of Pygocentrus nattereri (red-bellied piranha), 339 nucleotides long. The record is from the annotation of a RefSeq genome assembly. NCBI's taxonomy places the organism in Eukaryota, Metazoa, Chordata, Actinopteri, Characiformes, Serrasalmidae.